RNAcentral lists this ribosomal RNA (440 nucleotides) under uncultured bacterium. RNAcentral describes it as "partial 16S ribosomal RNA". It matches the Rfam family "Bacterial small subunit ribosomal RNA", at positions 338 to 795 of the family's 1533-position model. The record is from RNAcentral.
CCUACGGGAGGCAGCAGUGGGGAAUAUUGCACAAUGGGGGAAACCCUGAUGCAGCGACGCCGCGUGAGCGAUGAAGUAUUUCGGUAUGUAAAGCUCUAUCAGCAGGGAAGAAGAUGACGGUACCUGACUAAGAAGCCCCGGCUAACUACGUGCCAGCAGCCGCGGUAAUACGGAGGGGGCAAGCGUUAUCCGGAUUUACUGGGUGUAAAGGGAGCGUAGGCGGCGAUGCAAGACUGAGGGGAAAGCCCGGGGCUCAACCCCGGGACUGCAUUUGGAAAGGUGUGGCUGGAGUGACGGAGAGGCGAGCGGAAUUCCUAGUGUAGCGGUGGAAUGCGUAGAUAUUAGGAGGAACACCAGUGGCGAAGGCGGCCUGCUGGACGAUGACUGACGUUGAGGCUCGAAAGCGUGGGGAGCAAACAGGAUUAGAUACCCGAGUAGUC